AGAGUUUGAUCCUGGCUCAGGAUGAACGCUAGCUACAGGCUUAACACAUGCAAGUCGAGGGGAAACGACAUCGAAAGCUUGCUUUUGAUUGGGCGUCGACCGGCGCACGGGUGAGUAACGCGUAUCCAACCUGCCCACCACUUGGGGAUAACCUUGCGAAAGUAAGACUAAUACCCAAUGAUAUCUCUAGAAGACAUCUGAAAGAGAUUAAAGAUUUUAUCGGUGAUGGAUGGGGGAUGCGUCUGAUUAGCUUGUUGGCGGGGUAACGGCCCACCAAGGCGACGAUCAGUAGGGGUUCUGAGAGGAAGGUCCCCCACAUUGGAACUGAGACACGGUCCAAACUCCUACGGGAGGCAGCA
Molecule: ribosomal RNA, 359 nt
Filed under: uncultured bacterium
Lineage: Bacteria
Description: bacterial SSU rRNA
Rfam family: Bacterial small subunit ribosomal RNA
Source: RNAcentral